AGAGCGAACGCUGGCGGCAGGCCUAACACAUGCAAGUCGAGCGCCCGUAGCAAUACGGGAGCGGCAGACGGGAUAGUAACACGUGGGAACGCGCCCUUCGGUUCGGAAUAACUCAGGGAAACUUGAGCUAAUACCGGAUACGCCCUUACGGGGAAAGAUUUAUUGCCGAAGGAACGGCCCGCGUCCGAUUAGCUAGUUGGUGAGGUAAUGGCUCACCAAGGCGACGAUCGGUAGCUGGUCUGAGAGGAUGACCAGCAUCACUGGGACUGAGACACGGCCCAGACUCCUACGGGAGGCAGCAGUGGGGAAUAUGGACAAUGGGCGCAAGCCUGAUCCAGCCAUGCCGCGUGGAUGAUGAAGGCCUUAGGGGUUGUAAAGUCCUUUUAACGGGGAAGAUAAUGACGGUACCCGUAGAAUAAGCCCCGGCUAACUUCGUGCCAGCAGCCGC
This 448-nucleotide ribosomal RNA is filed under the name uncultured bacterium. RNAcentral describes it as "SSU rRNA". It matches the Rfam family "Bacterial small subunit ribosomal RNA", at positions 26 to 518 of the family's 1533-position model. The record is from RNAcentral.